RNAcentral lists this ribosomal RNA (666 nucleotides) under uncultured Bacteroidales bacterium. RNAcentral describes it as "bacterial SSU rRNA". It matches the Rfam family "Bacterial small subunit ribosomal RNA", at positions 105 to 770 of the family's 1533-position model. The record is from RNAcentral. Lineage: Bacteria; Pseudomonadati; Bacteroidota; Bacteroidia; Bacteroidales.
GGUGAGUAACACGUAUCCAACCUGCCGAUGACUCGGGGAUAGCCUUUCGAAAGAAAGAUUAAUACCCGAUGGCAUAGUUCUUCCGCAUGGUGGAACUAUUAAAGAAUUUCGGUUAUCGAUGGGGAUGCGUUCCAUUAGUUUGUUGGCGGGGUAACGGCCCACCAAGACUACGAUGGAUAGGGGUUCUGAGAGGAAGGUCCCCCACAUUGGAACUGAGACACGGUCCAAACUCCUACGGGAGGCAGCAGUGAGGAAUAUUGGUCAAUGGGCGCAGGCCUGAACCAGCCAAGUAGCGUGAAGGAUGAAGGCUCUAUGGGUCGUAAACUUCUUUUAUAUGGGAAUAAAGUUUUCCACGUGUGGAAUUUUGUAUGUACCAUAUGAAUAAGGAUCGGCUAACUCCGUGCCAGCAGCCGCGGUAAUACGGAGGAUCCGAGCGUUAUCCGGAUUUAUUGGGUUUAAAGGGAGCGUAGGUGGAUUGUUAAGUCAGUUGUGAAAGUUUGCGGCUCAACCGUAAAAUUGCAGUUGAAACUGGGAGUCUUGAGUACAGUAGAGGUGGGCGGAAUUCGUGGUGUAGCGGUGAAAUGCUUAGAUAUCACGAAGAACUCCGAUUGCGAAGGCAGCUCACUAGACUGUUACUGACACUGAUGCUCGAAAGUGUGGGUAUCA